UGUUGGACACAAUGCACGUCGAGUGUCCGGCUGUAACAAACUAUUGACAAAUUAACAUCGUCGUCUAAUAGUGGCUCAUACCAUCACCUACAGCCUUACCAUGGAAAAAUCGGUUUCGUGCGAAAUAAAUGAGAAUGAAAAUGGGGCUGUGCAUCUGCUCGAAGUGAAAAAAAAAA
This is a long non-coding RNA of Bradysia coprophila, 176 nucleotides long. Lineage: Eukaryota; Metazoa; Arthropoda; Insecta; Diptera; Sciaridae. The record is from RefSeq and is a predicted model, not a curated record.